AAUGCGAAUGUGAUCAAAUUUGAUUUAUAUUCAAACUUGGGCUUGCCUAUACCUUUUCAAUCCAAAAUGAUUAACUGGAAUUAAUCAAUCAACAUAAUAGUGAUGACAUAGACCGUGAGUUAAUUUUUAAUGAGGCCUACAGUUGUAAACAUGCAUAAAGAAAAGCUCAGCUGUCACGUCCUGACCUUAGUUACUUUUUUUAUAUCUCUAUUUUAGGUUGGUCAGGGCGUGAGUUGGGGUGGACAUUCUAUGUUUUGUUCUAUGUGUUUGACCUGGUAUGGUUCCCAAACAGAGGCAGCUGUCAAUCAUUGUCUCUGAUUGAGAACCAUACUUAAGGCAGCCUUUUUUCACCCUUGAGUUGUGGGUAGUUGUUUUCUGUCUCUGUACCAGACAGGACUGUUUCGUUUGUUCCUUUUUGUUCUAGUGUAAUUAAAAGAUCAUGAACACGUACCACGCUGCACCCUGGUCCUCUCCUUCUUCCACCGACGACAACCGUUACAUCAGCCCUUCAAAUCCUGUCCUGCCCUCAGUGGAAGAGUUGAGCUCUUCUCCAACACCAUCCAUCCAUGAUGAGCCUGUCCUGCACUGAAGGCUAUGAACACCUCAACCCCUGUCCUGCACUGAAGGCUAUGAACACCUCAACCCCUGUCCUGCACUGAAGGCUAUGAACACCUCAACCCCUGUCCAGCACUGAAGUCAAGCCUCUGAACACCUCAACGCCUGUCCUGCACUGAUGUCAAGCCUCUGAACACCUCAACCCUUGUCCUGCACUGAAGGCUAUGAACACCUCAACCCCUGUCCUGCACUGAAGGCUAUGAACACCUCAACCCCUGUCCAGCACUGAAGUCAAGCCUCUGAACACCUCAACGCCUGUCCUGCACUGAUGUCAAGCCUCUGAACACCUCAACCCUUGUCCUGCACUGAAGGCUAUGAACACCUCAACCCCUGUCCUGCACUGAAGGCUAUGAACACCUCAACCCCUGUCAUGCACUGAAGGCUAUGAACACCUCAACCCCUGUCCGGCACUGAAGUCAAGCCUCUGAUCAACUCAUGCCUCAUACCCUCAUUCAAUCACUGCUGUGAUCCCUUUCCAACAGAUUGGAAGUAGCCCUUUCAUUCCCACCUUUCUCAAUUGUUUUCUCUCAGUUCAGCAGUGUCAUAGCUUAAAACAUCUUUACAGGGCACAGAGCUUCUGGAACAAAACACCCAACACUUGAAAUAAAUAGAUCUUAAUUAUAGAGUAGAGUGACAAAGUAAUGGUUGGGGGGCACAUUGAAGGUAAAUGCUCAAGUCAUCUUUCUUUUGAGCCAGACUGCCCCCGUUCUAUAAACUACCAUCCAGCAUUUAUAAUUGACAAAUAAUUAAUCAUUACCAACACCACCUACUCUCAGCAUAUUUCCCCUAUGACCCUAUUUGACAGCCGAGAUUCAUUAAGUCCCUGAGUUUAGAUGUUGAGAUGAAAACAUUCUCUGCCACACACACACUCCCGAUUAAACCUCUUUGAAGUUAUACGCUUAAAACGAUCAGCGUCCAUUCCCCAUGCUCUGUCCAGUGGUAGAACACUGGCAGUAGGUGUGGGUGUGAUGAGGAGUUGCCUGUUAGUCAGCAGCAAAUGUGUGAAAGCUGAAAGCCAUAUUAAUGAUGCAGAUCUCUGUUGGGUACGUGGGGGGAGGACAGGCAGAGACAGACGGAACACGCUGGGAGGCCACAAAUCAGCCACUGAUUCAUCUAGAGGUGGGCCCGCCUGACGAGAGAAGAUUAAAGAGACAAGGGGACAACAUGCUGCAUACAUGUAUGACUGGGAGGAGAGACAUUAGCCAAGGACUGGCAGGGGACGGAGAGCAAGGGAAUGAGGGAGGGGGACAAGAAAACAAACAGGGGGAAGGAAGUAGAUAAAGAGAUAUAGGAAAGAGGAAAAACAAAUGAGGAGUGAAAAUGAGAAGCAAAGAGUGUAAGGAGUAGUGUUGGACAGGGCAAAAUGCAAGGAUGAUAGUGUUGAUUGGCGAGUAGAUCAGUCGAGUAGAGGGUUUCAGGAAGGGAGAUAAUGAGAGAGACAGUAAAGAAUAGUUUAAUAGGGCCAGAAAGAAAGCUUGAGAGAAGGGGUUAAUGGUUUGAAAGGAAAUGACAGGUGUGGUUGGAAAGGUCAGAGAAGAGAGGCUAGAGGGAAAAUGAUGACUGGUUAUAGAGGCUGGAGUAGCCAGGUGUGAAGUGAAUCGGUGAGUGCUAGGCUUCAUGUUGACACCAGUACCACUACUGCUAGUAGCAGUGUGUGUGUUUUUACAGGCUUCUCUCCAAGUUUGCAUUCUGAUCACAGUAGCUUCCCCAGAGGCUCAGUCAACCAACAUGGCUUAAUCCUAAAGACAGGACUGACCUCAGUUCAGAGUAGCCAAGCAGCAUCUGCUUCCUCAGCACAGCUCCACUGGCACAGCAUGUUACAGCACUAAUGCCACCCAGAAUAAAGAAUAGUUCUGUCAGGGAUAAGGGAUGGAGGCCAGCCUUCUGGGUUGAAAUGUCAUGUCACCAGUAUGAGGAAAAGAUGAAGUCUCAUUCUCUGUGUCGCCUAUGUGAGAAUCUUGUCAUGAGCACCAGUGAUUCUCUACUUUUUCCUUAUUAUUUUCGCACUCCAUUUAUCACUCUCCCCUGCUCCUCAGUCUCUUUCUAUAGUCACUUUUCUCAUUUCAUCUGGGUUCCCAUUUUGUCUCAGGAUGAUGAGGGUAUAAUGGCCUCAUUGAAGACUAAUGCUUUAUAAUGAUGAAAUGACCUGUCCAGCACAAACUGAGAGCCACAGACAGACAGAGACCGACAGACUUGCCAGACAGAGAGAGGAUGCUUGAGCUCACUCCCCUCAGCCAUUAAAUUACAUAGCCAAAGAGAACAGUAGUUGGGAGAGAGAAUGAGUAGACGGGAAUUAAAGAAUACUACAAGAAAUAAGAGGUGAAAAGAAAGAGAAUGGAGUGGAGAUAAUUAGGAAGUGGUGAGGCUGAAACGAGAGCCAGGCAGACUCACUGCAUUCCCACUUCACACUGUAGUCUACACACCAUCUUUAAAGGCUUUAUACCACACUUAAACACUCUGCCCUUGAGAUAACUUUCUCUUAGGAGGGCAGAGAAUUAGUUGUAAUGUCUAUUUUUAUUUUAAAACAGCUUGUGUAGGUAGCAUCAUUAGAUAUGAGCAUAAUCAUUUACAUGGCUAGACAUGAUCUUAAAUGUCCCUAUUUUGUUCUCUAUUGCUCCUCUAUUAUUCCUCAAGCAAGAGGGGAGGACGAUGACAUCACAGAUUCCCUCCCAUUAGACCAACUCCUUGAAUGCCCUACUCCUUGAAGUUUUCAGUUUUGUCUAAAAAACACUAUAUUGCUCAAAACAGAUUUUUUUUUACCCCUUAGUGUGUGUACUUUACAGUAUUUAUACUUGAGACUUUUCAACAGUUAAAGUUAGCUGGAGGACGUCUUUAACUAAUUUGAAAUCAAAUCCAAUUAGAUUUGUCACAUGCGCCGACUACAACAGGUGUAGACCCUACCGUGAAAUGCUUACUUACUAAGCUAUUAACCAACAAUACCACCGUUGUGUCGUCAGCAAACAUAAUGACGGUGUUGGAGUCAUGCUUGGCCACGCAGUCGUGGGUGAACAGGGAGUACAGGAGGGGACUAAGCACGCACCCCUGAGGGGCCCCCGUGUUGAGGAUCAGCGUGGCAGAUGUGUUGUUGCCUACUCUUACCACCUGGAGGGUGGGUCGUCAGGAAGUCCAGGAUCCAGUUGCAGAGGGAGGUGUUUAGUACCAGGGUCCUUAGCUUAGUGAUGAGCUUUGUGGGCACUAUGGUGUUGAACACUGAGCUGUAGUCAAUGAAUGGUAUUCUCACAUAGGUGAACAUUUUGUCCAGGUGGGAAAGGGCAGUGUGGAGUGUGAUUGAGAUUGAUUGAGAUCUGUGGAUCUAUUGGGGCGGUAUGCGAUUUGGAGUCGGUCUACGGUUUUCAGGAUGAUGGUGUUGAUGUGAGCCAUGACCAGCCUUUCAAAGCACUUUAUGGCUAUAGACGUGUGUGCUACGGGGUGGUAGUCAUUUAGGCAGAUUACCUUCGCUUUCUUGGGCACAGCAACUAUGGUGGUCGACUUGAAACAUGUAGAUAUUACUGACUCGGUCAGAGAGAGGUUGAAAAUGUCAGUGAAGACACUUGCCAGUUGGUCCGUGCAUGCUCUGAGUACACAUCCUGGUAAUCCGUCUGGCACGGUGGCCUUGUGAAUGUUGACCUGUUUAAAGGUCUUGGUCACAUCAGCUACGGAGAUCUUGAUCACAAAGUCACCCGGAACAGCGGGUGCUCUCAUGGGUGCUUCAGUGUUGCUUUCCUCGAAGCGAGCAUAAAAGGCAUUUAGCCCGUCUGGUAGUUUCCCCUCACUGGGCAGUUCGCGGCUGGGUUUCCCUUGUAGUCCUGCCACAUCCUACGAGCAUCAGAGCCGGUGUCAUAAGAGUCAAUCUUAGUCCUGUAUUGAUGCUUUGCCUGUUUGAUGGUUCGCCUGAGGGCAUAGCGGGAUUUCUUUAAGCGUUCGGAUUAGUGUCCCGCUCCUUGAAGAGGAGGUGUGAGGGUGCUUUAAAAAUAAAUAAUUUUACACUGAACAGUGUGUGUAUCACACAUCCUAGCUUGGUGCAGAUGUUGCCUGUAAACCAUAGCUGCUGAUUGGGAUAUGUACAUACGGUCACUGUAGGGACGACGUUGUCGAUGCACUUAUUGAUGAAGCCGGUGACUGAGGUGGUAUACUCCUCAAUGCCGUUGGAUGAAUCCCGGAACAUAUUCCAAUCUGUGCUAGCAAAACAGUCCUGUACAAUAGCAUCUGCGUCAUCUGAUCACUUCCGUAUUGAGCGAGUCACUGGUACUUCUUGCUUUAGGUUUUGCUUGUAAGCAGGAAUCAGGGGGAUAGAAUUAUGGUCAGAUUUUCCAAAUGGGGGGCGAGGGAGAGCUUUGUACUCUGUGUGUGGAGUAAAGCUGAUCUACAGUUUUUUUCCCUAUGUUUGCACAUGUGACAUGUUGGUAGAAAUUAGAUUAAAUGGAUUUAAGCUUGCCUGCAUUUAAAUCAUCAGCCACUAGGAGCGCCGCUUCUGGAUGAGCAUUUUCUUGUUUGCUAUUGGCCUUACGGCUCAUUGAGUGCCAACGCCGGUUUGUGGUGGUAAAUAGACAGCUACGAAAAAUAUAGAUGAAAACUCUCUUGGUAGAUAGUGUGAUCUACAGCUUAUCAUGAGGUACUAUAACUCAGACGAACAACACCUCGAGACUACCUUAAUAUUAGACAUCGCGCACCAGCUGUUAUUGACUGCCUGGUGAUGCCACCAGGCACACCAAAACUCCCUCCCACCAAAACAGGCUGACAUUUCAGGCUGUCUAUUCAAACCGCUGUUAAGCUGAAUGUGCAUGAUCAUUAUUUUCACAAUUUCAGUAUUAUUCCAACCUCUUAGUGUGGAAAUAUAUAUAAAACACAGGAAAGUACAGUUUUGACUGCACUGGGCCUUGAAGGAGUUCCCACAUAUGCUGAGCACUUGUUAGCUGCUUUUCCUUCACUCUAUGGUCCAACUCAUUCCAAACCAUCUCAAUUGGGUUGAGGUCAGGUGAUUGUGGAGGCCAGGUCAUCUGAUGCAGCACUCCAUUACUUUGCUUGAUCAAAUAGUCCUUACACAGUCUGGAGGUGUGUUUUCAGUCAUUGUCCUGUUGAAAAAGAAAUGAUAGUCCCGCUAAGCGCAAACAAGAUGGGAUGGCGUAUCUCUGCAGAAUGCUGUAGUAGCAAUGCUAGUUAAGUGUGACUUGAAUUCUAAAUAAAUCACAGAUUGUGUCACCAGCAAAGCACCCUCACACCUCCUCCUCCUCCAUGCUUCACGGUGGGAACCACACAUGCGGAGCUCAUCCGUUCACCUACUCUGCGUCUCACAAAGAGACAGCAGUUGGAACCAAAAAUCACAAAUUUGGACUCAUCAGAACAAAGGACAGAUUUCCACAGGUCUAAUGUCCAUUGCACGUGUUUCUUGGACAAGCAAGUCUCUUCUUACUAUUGCUGUCCUUUAGUAGUAGUGGUUUAUUUGCAGCAAUUCGACCAUGAAGGCCUGAUUCAAGCAGUCUCCUCGGCACAGUUAAUGUUGAGAUGUGUCUGUUACUUGAACUCUGUGAAGCAUUUCUUUGGACUGCAAUCUGAGAUGCAGUUAACUCUAAUGAACUUAUCCUCUGCAGCAGAGGUAACUUUGGGUCUUCCUUUUCUGUGGCAUUCCUCAUGAGAGCCAGUUUCAUCAUAGCGCUUGAUGGUUUUUGCAACUGCAAUUCAAGAAACUUUCAAAGUUCCUUAAAUUUUCCUGACUUUUUUGGUUACUACAUGAUUCAAUAUGUGUUAUUUCAUAGUUUUGAUAUCUUCGCUAUUAUUCUACAAUGUAGAAAAUAAAAAUAAAGAAAACCCCUGGAAUAAG
Long non-coding RNA from Oncorhynchus keta (chum salmon), 6433 nucleotides. RefSeq lists it as uncharacterized. The transcript is spliced from 2 exons. The record is from RefSeq and is a predicted model, not a curated record. Lineage: Eukaryota; Metazoa; Chordata; Actinopteri; Salmoniformes; Salmonidae.